RNAcentral lists this ribosomal RNA (434 nucleotides) under uncultured bacterium. Its description in RNAcentral is "bacterial SSU rRNA". It matches the Rfam family "Bacterial small subunit ribosomal RNA", at positions 32 to 457 of the family's 1533-position model. The record is from RNAcentral.
AAUCAACGCUGGCGGCGUGCCUCAGACAUGCAAGUCGAACGAUUAAAGCUCUCUUCGGAGAGUGUAUAGAGUGGCGCACGGGUGAGUAACACGUAAGUAAUCUACCCUCGAGUGGGGAAUAACAACCGGAACGGUUGCUAAUACCGCAUAAUGCAGCGGCACCGCAAGGUGACAGUUGUUAAAGAUUUAUCGCUUGAGGAGGAGCUUGCGGCAGAUUAGCUAGUUGGUAGGGUAACGGCUUACCAAGGCUACGAUCUGUAACCGGUCUAAGAGGACGGUCGGUCACACUGACACUGAAUAACGGGUCAGACUCCUACGGGAGGCAGCAGUCGGGAAUUUUGGGCAAUGGGCGGAAAGCCUGACCCAGCAACGCCGCGUGAAGGAUGAAGUAUUUCGGUAUGUAAACUUACGAAAGAAUAGGAAGAAUUAAUGAC